This 429-nucleotide ribosomal RNA is filed under the name Bacteroidota bacterium. RNAcentral's name for it is "Bacteroidetes bacterium partial 16S ribosomal RNA". It matches the Rfam family "Bacterial small subunit ribosomal RNA", at positions 355 to 776 of the family's 1533-position model. Lineage: Bacteria; Pseudomonadati; Bacteroidota. The record is from RNAcentral.
UAGUGAAUCUUCGGCAAUGGGGGGAACCCUGACCGAGCAACGCCGCGUGAGUGAAGAAGGUUUUCGGAUCGUAAAGCUCUGUUGUUAAGGAAGAACGAGUGUGAGAAUGGAAAGUUCAUGCUGUGACGGUACUUAACCAGAAAGGAACGGCUAACUACGUGCCAGCAGCCGCGGUAAUACGUAGGUCCCGAGCGUUGUCCGGAUUUAUUGGGCGUAAAGCGAGCGCAGGCGGUUAGAAAAGUCUGAAGUGAAAGGCAGUGGCUCAACCAUUGUAGGCUUUGGAAACUGUUUAACUUGAGUGCAGAAGGGGAGAGUGGAAUUCCAUGUGUAGCGGUGAAAUGCGUAGAUAUAUGGAGGAACACCGGUGGCGAAAGCGGCUCUCUGGUCUGUAACUGACGCUGAGGCUCGAAAGCGUGGGGAGCGAACAGG